GACGAACGCUGGCGGCGUGCUUAACACAUGCAAGUCGAACGGAAAGGCCCUGCUUUUGUGGGGUGCUCGAGUGGCGAACGGGUGAGUAACACGUGAGUAACCUGCCCUUGACUUUGGGAUGACUUCAGGAAACUGGGGCUAAUACCGGAUAGGAGCUCCUGCUGCAUGGUGGGGGUUGGAAAGUUUCGGCGGUUGGGGAUGGACUCGCGGCUUAUCAGCUUGUUGGUGGGGUAGUGGCUUACCAAGGCUUUGACGGGUAGCCGGCCUGAGAGGGUGACCGGCCACAUUGGGACUGAGAUACGGCCCAGACUCCUACGGGAGGCAGCAGUGGGGAAUAUUGCACAAUGGGCGGAAGCCUGAUGCAGCAACGCCGCGUGCGGGAUGACGGCCUUCGGGUUGUAAACCGCUUUCGCCUGUGACGAAGCGUGAGUGACGGUAAUGGGUAAAGAAGCACCGGCUAACUACGUGCCAGCAGCCGCGGUGAUACGUAGGGUGCGAGCGUUGUCCGGAUUUAUUGGGCGUAAAGGGCUCGUAGGUGGUUGAUCGCGUCGGAAGUGUAAUCUUGGGGCUUAACCCUGAGCGUGCUUUCGAUACGGGUUGACUUGAGGAAGGUAGGGGAGAAUGGAAUUCCUGGUGGAGCGGUGGAAUGCGCAGAUAUCAGGAGGAACACCAGUGGCGAAGGCGGUUCUCUGGGCCUUUCCUGACGCUGAGGAGCGAAAGCGUGGGGAGCGAACAGGCUUAGAUACCCUGGUAGUCCACGCUGUAAACGGUGGGUACUAGGUGUGGGGUCCAUUCCACGGGUUCCGUGCCGUAGCUAACGCUUUAAGUACCCCGCCUGGGGAGUACGGCCGCAAGGCUAAAACUCAAAGGAAUUGACGGGGCCCCGCACAAGCGGCGGAGCAUGCGGAUUAAUUCGAUGCAACGCGUAGAACCUUACCUGGGUUUGACAUGGAUCGGGAGUGCUCAGAGAUGGGUGUGCCUCUUUUGGGGUCGGUCCACAGGUGGUGCAUGCCUGUCGUCAGCUCGUGUCGUGAGAUGUUGGGUUAAGUCCCGCAACGAGCGCAACCCUUGUUCACUGUUGCCAGCACGUUAUGGUGGGGACUCAGUGGAGACCGCCGGGGUCAGCUCGGAGGAAGGUGGGGAUGACGUCAAGUCCUCAUGCCCCUUAUGUCCAGGGCUUCACGCAUGCUACAAUGGCUGGUACAGAGAGUGGCGAGCCUGUGAGGGUGAGCGAAUCUCGGAAAGCCGGUCUCAGUUCGGAUUGGGGUCUGCAACUCGACCUCAUGAAGUCGGAGUCGCUAGUAAUCGCAGAUCAGCAACGCUGCGGUGAAUACGUUCCCGGGGCU
This 1346-nucleotide ribosomal RNA is filed under the name uncultured bacterium. Its description in RNAcentral is "bacterial SSU rRNA". It matches the Rfam family "Bacterial small subunit ribosomal RNA", at positions 28 to 1381 of the family's 1533-position model. The record is from RNAcentral.